Molecule: ribosomal RNA, 397 nt
Filed under: uncultured bacterium
Lineage: Bacteria
Description: bacterial SSU rRNA
Rfam family: Bacterial small subunit ribosomal RNA
Source: RNAcentral
GAUGAACGCUAGCGAUAGGCCUAACACAUGCAAGUCGAGGGGCAUCACAUGAAGUAGCAAUACGGAUGGUGGCGACCGGCGCACGGGUGAGUAACACGUAUGCAACCUGCCUUCAACAAGGGGAUAACCCGUUGAAAGACGGACUAAUACCCUAUAACACAGGGGUCCCGCAUGGGGAUAUUUGUUAAAGGACAACCGGUUGAAGAUGGGCAUGCGUUCCAUUAGCUAGUUGGCGGGGUAAGGGCCCACCAAGGCAACGAUGGAUAGGGGGAACUGAGAGGUUUAUCCCCCACACUGGUACUGAGACACGGACCAGACUCCUACGGGAGGCAGCAGUGAGGAAUAUUGGUCAAUGGACGGCAAGUCUGAACCAGCCACGUCGCGUGAAGGAAGACGG